AAGACUAUAGACCUGCGGAGUACCUGCGGAGGGAUCAUUACCGAAAACAAAACCAUAUGUGUAUAUGUAUAUUGUAUGGUGAGCGCGCCAAACAGGUGCGCUCGCUGUACAUAUAUAUACAUAUAUGUAUACACCCCUUGUGUGAACAACCGAUUCUAUGUGCAUGCAGUCGAGGCAAGAUGUUGGCAGUGCAGCAGUAUAGCGAGCACUGCUGACGCCAAGGCUGCUGCACAUGAUCAA
This 240-nucleotide unclassified non-coding RNA is filed under the name soil metagenome. RNAcentral describes it as "partial contains 5.8S ribosomal RNA, internal transcribed spacer 2, and large subunit ribosomal RNA". The record is from RNAcentral.